UUCUUCGGGGUCGGGUGCAAGUCCCAACCGGCGGUAUAGUCCGCGACCUGAUGUAUUAUGGCAUCAGCUGAUCUGGUGAGAUUCCAGAACCGACAGUAAAGUCUGGAUGAGAGAAGGA
This 118-nucleotide non-coding RNA is filed under the name uncultured Sporofaciens sp. Its description in RNAcentral is "FMN riboswitch (RFN element)". It matches the Rfam family "FMN riboswitch aptamer (RFN element)". From Rfam's summary of the family: The RFN element is a highly conserved domain that is found frequently in the 5'-untranslated regions of prokaryotic mRNAs that encode for flavin mononucleotide (FMN) biosynthesis and transport proteins. The record is from RNAcentral. Lineage: Bacteria; Bacillati; Bacillota; Clostridia; Lachnospirales; Lachnospiraceae.